GUUUUGAUCAUCAGCUAGCUGACUUCAGGGAAGCAACUUUGUGGUGGCAAACAAGCGCUUCCUUCACAUGGCUUGCUGGGGUCUGAUGUGGUUUGCCCCGAAGGGUUCAUGUGGUGGAGGCUUGGUCCUCAGUGUGGUGUGAGAAGGUGGGGCCUACUGGGAGGCUCAGAUCAGUUAGAGGUGGUCCCUCAGAAGGGACUGUGGCAUUCUCUCUGGCUUCCUGUCUGAUGACGUGAUCACUUAUUCCCAUAUGUGCUCCCAUCAUGAUGCGAUCCACCAUGAUGAGCUCCAUCCACCAUGAUCCACUCUGACAUGACAAGAUCUGCCAUGAUGUGUUCUGCCAAGAGGAUCCUUGCCAGAGGCCAAGUUGAUGAUGCCCUCCAACCUGGACUUUGGGCUUCCAAAACUAGAGCCCUGAGUAAUACAGUGUUGUGUUUAUUCACCUGAACUUGGAGAAUGACAUCUGAGGCUCAUACAUACCCCAAGGGCUGGUCCUGUGUGCUGCACACACAGACACAGACGCAUAACAUCAAGGGCUAGAAGAAACCCAGACAUUUUGAAGAAUUGGCUUUGCUUGUUCCACAC
This 585-nucleotide long non-coding RNA is filed under the name Heterocephalus glaber (naked mole-rat). RNAcentral describes it as "lncRNA (ENSHGLG00100040766.1)". Lineage: Eukaryota; Metazoa; Chordata; Mammalia; Rodentia; Bathyergidae. The record is from RNAcentral.